Molecule: ribosomal RNA, 455 nt
Filed under: uncultured Alcaligenaceae bacterium
Lineage: Bacteria; Pseudomonadati; Pseudomonadota; Betaproteobacteria; Burkholderiales; Alcaligenaceae
Description: bacterial SSU rRNA
Rfam family: Bacterial small subunit ribosomal RNA
Source: RNAcentral
CACAAGCGGUGGAUGAUGUGGAUUAAUUUCGAUGCAACGCGAAAACCUUACCUACCCUUGACAUGGUCGGAAUCCCGCCAGAGAUGUGGGAGUGCUCGAAAGAGAACCGGCACACAGGUGCUGCAUGGCUGUCGUCAGCUCGUGUCGUGAGAUGUUGGGUUAAGUCCCGCAACGAGCGCAACCCUUGUCAUUAGUUGCUACGAAAGGGCACUCUAAUGAGACUGCCGGUGACAAACCGGAGGAAGGUGGGGAUGACGUCAAGUCCUCAUGGCCCUUAUGGGUAGGGCUUCACACGUCAUACAAUGGUCGGUACAGAGGGCUGCCAACCCGCAAGGGGGAGCCAAUCCCUUAAAACCGAUCGUAGUCCGGAUUGAGGUCUGCAACUCGACCUCAUGAAGUCGGAAUCGCUAGUAAUCGCGGAUCAGCAUACUGCGGUGAAUACGUUCCCGGGCCUU